This is a long non-coding RNA of Astyanax mexicanus (Mexican tetra), 601 nucleotides long. RefSeq lists it as uncharacterized. The record is from RefSeq and is a predicted model, not a curated record. Lineage: Eukaryota; Metazoa; Chordata; Actinopteri; Characiformes; Acestrorhamphidae. The transcript is spliced from 2 exons.
CACUGAAUGAAGACAUGGAUGACAUCCACCACAGCAAACAGCCACGGGGGUCCUGGGGUAAUUUUCUCUUUUAUGGGGGGAGGGGUCCUCUGUGAUUUUAUUUCUGCCUGGAAUUACCAUAAAUGUGUACUCUGAGAAAAUUACAGGCAGAAUUGCCCACUGUUUUUGCUCAACUCUGUGGUCCUCAGGUAUUUUUUAUUGCCGUCUGGAUGCACAUCUGAGUUUCGACACUUUGUGUUUAGUAAAAUAGCCUUUUGUCUACUGCCAUGCACGGUAAUUACACUUUGGGCACACGAUUCCACAGAGAUCCACAUAAACACAACAGCGAGUGGAAUUGAAGGAGCUACCUAACAUGAUGUCAUGUGACAGAGAAAGUCAAAAAACUCCUGGUCCUCCUGUUUUUUCAAUGGCAGUCCGGAUGCAAGAGUUUUAUCACUGAGAAGAAGUAUGAAUAAUUUUUCACAGAUGUCCCCCUGAGAAACUAAUCCCGUCCAGAUAGGGCUUUAGAUUUGUUUUCCUCUCCUCAUGAUUGUGGUUCAGCUUUAAAGCACCAAAACUGCUUGCUUAUUGAAUUGAUUAAUAAAGAUUAUUUUAACCAACA